Molecule: long non-coding RNA, 718 nt
Organism: Ornithodoros turicata
Lineage: Eukaryota; Metazoa; Arthropoda; Arachnida; Ixodida; Argasidae
Exons: 2
Source: RefSeq, a predicted model, not a curated record
GGACGUGCGCUCCGCGCGCUCGCUCACUUUCUGGCUGGAUCUCGUAGAGAGCAGACGUGUGUUCUCCGCGGUCGCUCAGUUUCUGCCUGGAAGUUGCCGCGGGGGAAAAGGUGAGUGAGUGAUUUGACGCGCUCCUUUUCUCGUAUGUUUGCCGUGUUUAGCGGUGACCGCGCUCGUGCUAAGCCUUUUCUCGCAUAUUUAGCGAUGUGUGGUUCCCGCCUUGUGUUAGCUGCGUAGUGUUGAGGUUAGGCCUAAGCGAUCGCCCCCCCCCCCCCGUAAGCCUUUUCUCGCAUGUUUAGACUUGUUUUGCGGUGAGCAAGCCUGUUGACGCAUGUUUAGCGAUGUGUGGUUCCCGCCUUGUGUUAGCUGCGUAGUGUUGUGGUUAGGCCUAAGCGAUCGUCCCCGUAAGCCUUUUUCCCCGAUGUGUACUGUUUUCUGUUUAGCAGUAGCGAUUAGACCUUUUCUCUCGCAUGCCUAGACUUGUUUAGCAGUGCUGCCAUUUUUACCUGCCGCUAGUAUCUUGUUCUGUCUUUCUCGUCUAGAGCUAUGACGGUGGCGGCAUCUGGUGUGAUGCCUUGCAACUACGUGGCCACCUGUCGUCGAUCUCUGCAACUGCUGGGUGCAAACUACCAACAUGGCGGGCGCUGGUCACUCGGGUGUUGCGGAGCGGCUUCUUCGCCGCGGCAUCGUUGAUUUUCGAAUAAAUUGUUUCUCUCCA